RNAcentral lists this ribosomal RNA (1572 nucleotides) under Escherichia coli. RNAcentral's name for it is "bacterial LSU rRNA". It matches the Rfam family "Bacterial large subunit ribosomal RNA", at positions 1271 to 2826 of the family's 2925-position model. Lineage: Bacteria; Pseudomonadati; Pseudomonadota; Gammaproteobacteria; Enterobacterales; Enterobacteriaceae. The record is from RNAcentral.
UGCUGGAGGUAUCAGAAGUGCGAAUGCUGACAUAAGUAACGAUAAAGCGGGUGAAAAGCCCGCUCGCCGGAAGACCAAGGGUUCCUGUCCAACGUUAAUCGGGGCAGGGUGAGUCGACCCCUAAGGCGAGGCCGAAAGGCGUAGUCGAUGGGAAACAGGUUAAUAUUCCUGUACUUGGUGUUACUGCGAAGGGGGGACGGAGAAGGCUAUGUUGGCCGGGCGACGGUUGUCCCGGUUUAAGCGUGUAGGCUGGUUUUCCAGGCAAAUCCGGAAAAUCAAGGCUGAGGCGUGAUGACGAGGCACUACGGUGCUGAAGCGACAAAUGCCCUGCUUCCAGGAAAAGCCUCUAAGCAUCAGGUAACAUCAAAUCGUACCCCAAACCGACACAGGUGGUCAGGUAGAGAAUACCAAGGCGCUUGAGAGAACUCGGGUGAAGGAACUAGGCAAAAUGGUGCCGUAACUUCGGGAGAAGGCACGCUGAUAUGUAGGUGAAGCGACUUGCUCGUGGAGCUGAAAUCAGUCGAAGAUACCAGCUGGCUGCAACUGUUUAUUAAAAACACAGCACUGUGCAAACACGAAAGUGGACGUAUACGGUGUGACGCCUGCCCGGUGCCGGAAGGUUAAUUGAUGGGGUUAGCGGUAACGCGAAGCUCUUGAUCGAAGCCCCGGUAAACGGCGGCCGUAACUAUAACGGUCCUAAGGUAGCGAAAUUCCUUGUCGGGUAAGUUCCGACCUGCACGAAUGGCGUAAUGAUGGCCAGGCUGUCUCCACCCGAGACUCAGUGAAAUUGAACUCGCUGUGAAGAUGCAGUGUACCCGCGGCAAGACGGAAAGACCCCGUGAACCUUUACUAUAGCUUGACACUGAACAUUGAGCCUUGAUGUGUAGGAUAGGUGGGAGGCUUUGAAGUGUGGACGCCAGUCUGCAUGGAGCCGACCUUGAAAUACCACCCUUUAAUGUUUGAUGUUCUAACGUUGGCCCCUAAUCGGGGUUGCGGACAGUGUCUGGUGGGUAGUUUGACUGGGGCGGUCUCCUCCUAAAGAGUAACGGAGGAGCACGAAGGUUGGCUAAUCCUGGUCGGACAUCAGGAGGUUAGUGCAAUGGCAUAAGCCAGCUUGACUGCGAGCGUGACGGCGCGAGCAGGUGCGAAAGCAGGUCAUAGUGAUCCGGUGGUUCUGAAUGGAAGGGCCAUCGCUCAACGGAUAAAAGGUACUCCGGGGAUAACAGGCUGAUACCGCCCAAGAGUUCAUAUCGACGGCGGUGUUUGGCACCUCGAUGUCGGCUCAUCACAUCCUGGGGCUGAAGUAGGUCCCAAGGGUAUGGCUGUUCGCCAUUUAAAGUGGUACGCGAGCUGGGUUUAGAACGUCGUGAGACAGUUCGGUCCCUAUCUGCCGUGGGCGCUGGAGAACUGAGGGGGGCUGCUCCUAGUACGAGAGGACCGGAGUGGACGCAUCACUGGUGUUCGGGUUGUCAUGCCAAUGGCACUGCCCGGUAGCUAAAUGCGGAAGAGAUAAGUGCUGAAAGCAUCUAAGCACGAAACUUGCCCCGAGAUGAGUUCUCCCUGACUCCUUGA